GGGGAAUAUUGGACAAUGGGCGAAAGCCUGAUCCAGCAAUGCCGCGUGAGUGAUGAAGGCCUUAGGGUUGUAAAGCUCUUUUACCCGGGAUGAUAAUGACAGUACCGGGAGAAUAAGCUCCGGCUAACUCCGUGCCAGCAGCCGCGGUAAUACGGAGGGAGCUAGCGUUGUUCGGAAUUACUGGGCGUAAAGCGCGCGUAGGCGGCUUGAUAAGUCAGGGGUGAAAUCCCGGGGCUCAACCCCGGAACUGCCUUUGAAACUAUCUGGCUAGAAUCUUGGAGAGGUCAGUGGAAUUCCGAGUGUAGAGGUGAAAUUCGUAGAUAUUCGGAAGAACACCAGUGGCGAAGGCGACUUACUGGACACAUAUUGACGCUGAGGUGCGAAAGCGUGGGGAGCAAAC
This 400-nucleotide ribosomal RNA is filed under the name uncultured bacterium. Its description in RNAcentral is "bacterial SSU rRNA". It matches the Rfam family "Bacterial small subunit ribosomal RNA", at positions 356 to 773 of the family's 1533-position model. The record is from RNAcentral.